Molecule: ribosomal RNA, 461 nt
Filed under: uncultured bacterium
Lineage: Bacteria
Description: bacterial SSU rRNA
Rfam family: Bacterial small subunit ribosomal RNA
Source: RNAcentral
CGGGAGGCAGCAGUUAGGAAUCUUCCGCAAUGGGCGCAAGCCUGACGGAGCGACGCCGCUUGGAGGAUGAAGCCCUUCGGGGUGUAAACUCCUGAACUGGGGGCGAAAUCCCUGAUGAGGGGGCUGACGGUACCCAGGUAAUAGCGCCGGCCAACUCCGUGCCAGCAGCCGCGGUAAUACGGAGGGCGCGAGCGUUACCCGGAUUUACUGGGCGUAAAGGGCGUGUAGGCGGUUUGGCGCGUCUGGCGUUAAAGACCGCGGCUCAACCGUGGGGGUGCGCUGGAUACGGCCAAGCUAGACGGCUGGAGGGGGUGGUGGAAUUCCCGGAGUAGCGGUGAAAUGCGCAGAUACCGGGAGGAACGCCGAUAGCGAAGGCAGCCACCUGGCCAGUUUGUGACGCUGAGGCGCGAGAGCGUGGGGAGCAAACCGGAUUAGAUACCCGGGUAGUCCACGCCCUAAAC